Molecule: transfer RNA, 68 nt
Filed under: Camelus bactrianus (Bactrian camel)
Lineage: Eukaryota; Metazoa; Chordata; Mammalia; Artiodactyla; Camelidae
Also listed under: 1 other name
Rfam family: tRNA
About the family: Transfer RNA (tRNA) molecules are approximately 80 nucleotides in length.
Source: Rfam by way of RNAcentral
GGAUAGCUCAGUGGUGGAGCAUGUGUUUAGCAUGCACGAGGUCCUGGGUUCAAUCCCCAGCACCUCCA